This 318-nucleotide unclassified non-coding RNA is filed under the name Hevea brasiliensis (rubber tree). The record is from RNAcentral. Lineage: Eukaryota; Viridiplantae; Streptophyta; Magnoliopsida; Malpighiales; Euphorbiaceae.
CCUCUGGAUAGUCACAUACCCAGUUUAGAGCAUCUUCGGAUGGAAGGGGGCAAUCCAUUAAACAUAUACUCCGAGCAUUGGCCAACUUGAAUUGGCUGUUCUUCAAACCACUAAGAUAGACCUGGUUCGGAUUUAACCAAUAUGUAAGCUCCAAUUCGCGAAGAUUCGGAUUUGCAUGCUUAUCACCACACACAUUUCCUUUAUAAUCCAGCCCAUAGGUAAGCCUUAAGGGGUUUCCUUGGUUAAAUCCAAAGCUGGAGUUUACAAUCAUGGCAACCCAAAAUGCUAUAAAAAUGACAAGAAACACAACAUCUCUGC